This 248-nucleotide long non-coding RNA is filed under the name Carica papaya (papaya). RNAcentral describes it as "long non-coding RNA (CPAP_LNC013951)". Lineage: Eukaryota; Viridiplantae; Streptophyta; Magnoliopsida; Brassicales; Caricaceae. The record is from RNAcentral.
AUCUCAGACAUUUGAAGGAAAUGGUGUUUACACACCUGGUCCAAGGUGACAUGACUAUAUUAGAAUAUGUUCAAAAGUUCCUAGAGUUGGGUCGGUAUUCCCCUGAGAGCAUGAUGGAUGAAGGCAGGAAGGCAUGAAAGUUCGAGUGGGGUCUCUGACCUGAGAUCAGAUAACAGUUGUAUGUGUUCGAGCUCAGUACUUACUAGGCUGUUCUGGCCAAAGCAUAGCUAGUGGAGAGGAACCUUUGC